Populus euphratica (Euphrates poplar) is the source of this 595-nucleotide long non-coding RNA. RefSeq lists it as uncharacterized. The transcript has 2 exons. NCBI's taxonomy places the organism in Eukaryota, Viridiplantae, Streptophyta, Magnoliopsida, Malpighiales, Salicaceae. The record is from RefSeq and is a predicted model, not a curated record.
CCGCCCACAGCACACCCCCCAACCUCCCCCCACACACAAAAAAAAAAAGAGUAAAGAAAAAAGAUAUCUCUUUCUCAAGAUGCAGAGAUCACCGAGCAGUUCGAUAGUGACUGAAGAGUUGUUCAACAACACAAACACUGACAAAGACCACCAAGAACUCCCCACCUAUGAUCCAGCUUCUCACGUUGCAAAGAAGGAAAGGUCCCGUCUCAGAUCUGCUGAGAAUGCAAUCCAUGCCAUCCCUCUUGUUCUUGCUAUCUGUGCCAUCGUUCUCUGGUUCUUCUCCACCCCCCUAGAGUCAAGGACUUGAGAAUCAAUCACAUGCUCAAUGAAAUUAAGUUCAUGGGGCAGGUUGGUGCAGAAUUUGAGCUCAAGGAUUUCAAUCCAAUCCUAUUUACCUCUCAUCUAGCCAAAAGGCGAAUGCAUUUCUUGAGCAGAAGCAUUAUACUGAGCUCUUUUAACAUUAACACCAGUUUGUGAGUGAAAUGCAAAAACAACUCAAUUUUUUUCAUCGCAUCUUUACAUAUGCCUGUAUUAAUCUUAUGGUACACAGUUUUCUUUACAUGCAACUCAAUGCAUACAAUGUUUUUGGUUU